ACCUGGGUGGCUCAGUUGGUUGAGCAUCUGGCUUUGGCUCAGAUCAUGAUCUCACAGUUUGUGGGUUCGAGCCCCACAUCAGGCU
This 85-nucleotide transfer RNA is filed under the name Felis catus (domestic cat). It matches the Rfam family "tRNA". Rfam says of the family: Transfer RNA (tRNA) molecules are approximately 80 nucleotides in length. Their secondary structure includes four short double-helical elements and three loops (D, anti-codon, and T loops). Further hydrogen bonds mediate the characteristic L-shaped molecular structure. tRNAs have two regions of fundamental functional importance: the anti-codon, which is responsible for specific mRNA codon recognition, and the 3' end, to which the tRNAs corresponding amino acid is attached (by aminoacyl-tRNA synthetases). tRNAs cope with the degeneracy of the genetic code in two manners: having more than one tRNA (with a specific anti-codon) for a particular amino acid; and 'wobble' base-pairing, i.e. permitting non-standard base-pairing at the 3rd anti-codon position. The record is from Rfam by way of RNAcentral. Lineage: Eukaryota; Metazoa; Chordata; Mammalia; Carnivora; Felidae. RNAcentral also lists the same sequence under 1 other name.